CCCAGCAAUUGAUGUGCUUUUGGCUGAAGUUAUGUUUUAGCAACGACUCGUGUUUUGUUUUACUACAGGGUCCAGCAACCUAAGUCUUUCCUGCUUUCAUUACUCCACACUUUCGUCAGUACUCACAAAACACGCUUCUCCCUAUCCACUCGCGCUACAAAGUGUAUCGAUAAGCUUGCAUUGUUUUUAUUAGCGGCUUGUCUUUUUUUCAUAUCGAGUUAUAUUUAACGUUCUCUGGUCAUACGAGUAACAAUAUGAAUUGGCGGAUGAGGCAGAAAGAAUGAAGUGAGACUCGAGUUUCGCCUUCGGCUGGAAGACGGCCCAGAGGAUGUGGAUAGAGUGGCCCUACAGAGGUUGACCCUGAACCAGACCCCCUGCCCUCCCCUCCCCCAGACAGCAACCGACUACAGCCCUGCCACCCACCACCAAGCUCCCGUCAAAUGGGUCCGCCAAAUCAUCCACAUCGUGGAGGAGCAGUUUGUCGACGCAGAGGAUUGAGGUCCGGUGUGUCCCAAUACACUUUUUAUUAGUUAACUCUUUAAUCGUAAGCUCUUAGGAAUGAUUUGAUUUGGUUUCUCAGGUGUUUAAGUUCUACUUGUUCCUUGGUUUGUUGUUAAUGAAAUAGGAUGUCAUAUUUGUAGCCUCGUUGACAGUUGGGUUACAUGUUAACACUUCAUGAUUUUUUUUGUGUGAAUAAUUUCAAUAGAUUUGUAGUCUAACGCUUAACUAAAAGAGAAAUUGUAGUUUUUAUCUUAUUUUUUUUAAAUACUUUUGUUUUAAAAGCAAUCAACUGAUAUAGGCCCAUGUGUUCAAGUGUCACUCUCCUUUUAAAAUCAAAUGUGUUAAAAUGGAGAGGGCACAGUGCAAGAAUAAGUAUGUUUGGAUAUAUUCUCAAAUGGACUUACCUGAUUGGACUGAUUCUGAGCCCAUGGAGAGCAAGAGGUCAGGUUGCCAUGACUACAGCAUUAAGACACAACCCACUGGGCACAGAUGUCAAUUCAACGUCUAUUCCAAGUUGUUUCAAUGUAAUUUCAUUGAAAUGGUGUGGAAACAACGUUGAUUCAACCAGUGUGCACCCAGUGGGAAUGAAAUUCAGCUUUUGAGAUCCAAGAUAUCUUUAAUGCAAAUAAACCAUGCAUUUUAACAAUAAAACUCUACACUGAUGCUU
Long non-coding RNA from Salvelinus fontinalis (brook trout), 1168 nucleotides. RefSeq lists it as uncharacterized. The record is from RefSeq and is a predicted model, not a curated record. The transcript is spliced from 2 exons. Lineage: Eukaryota; Metazoa; Chordata; Actinopteri; Salmoniformes; Salmonidae.